GGGGAUGUAGCUCAGAUGGGAGAGCGAUGCGUUCGCAACGCAUAGGUCGAGGGUUCGAAUCCCUUCAUCUCCACCA
This 76-nucleotide transfer RNA is filed under the name Desulfobacterales bacterium. Its description in RNAcentral is "tRNA-Ala". It matches the Rfam family "tRNA". Rfam says of the family: Transfer RNA (tRNA) molecules are approximately 80 nucleotides in length. Their secondary structure includes four short double-helical elements and three loops (D, anti-codon, and T loops). Further hydrogen bonds mediate the characteristic L-shaped molecular structure. tRNAs have two regions of fundamental functional importance: the anti-codon, which is responsible for specific mRNA codon recognition, and the 3' end, to which the tRNAs corresponding amino acid is attached (by aminoacyl-tRNA synthetases). tRNAs cope with the degeneracy of the genetic code in two manners: having more than one tRNA (with a specific anti-codon) for a particular amino acid; and 'wobble' base-pairing, i.e. permitting non-standard base-pairing at the 3rd anti-codon position. The record is from RNAcentral. RNAcentral also lists the same sequence under 1 other name. Lineage: Bacteria; Pseudomonadati; Thermodesulfobacteriota; Desulfobacteria; Desulfobacterales.